RNAcentral lists this ribosomal RNA (374 nucleotides) under uncultured soil bacterium. RNAcentral describes it as "bacterial SSU rRNA". It matches the Rfam family "Bacterial small subunit ribosomal RNA", at positions 26 to 394 of the family's 1533-position model. The record is from RNAcentral.
AGGAUGAACGCUGGCGGCGUGCUUAACACAUGCAAGUCGAACGAUGAAGGCUGGAGCUUGCUCUGGCUGGAUUAGUGGCGAACGGGUGAGUAACACGUGAGUAACCUGCCCCCCGACUCUGGGAUAAGCGCCGGAAACGGCGUCUAAUACCGGAUACGAGCUUCCGCCGCAUGGUGAGGAGCUAGGAAAGAAUUUCGGUCUGGGAUGGACUCGCGGCCUAUCAGUCUUGUUGGUGAGGUAAUGGCUCACCAAGGCGACGACGGGUAGCCGGCCUGAGAGGUGACCGGCCACACUGGGACUGAGACGACGGCCCAGACUCCGUACGGGAGGCGAGCAGUGGGAAUAGUUGCACAAGUGGGACGACGAAGCCGUGA